ACAGGAUCGACUCUACCUUUUCGAUGUCCAUGAACAACAACUUCCUCACCAUGAUGCCAGUAAUAGUUAACCUCGGGAUUCAGGUCCAUAGAGGAGGCAGCCAACAGCGGGUUGCGUUUGCACAGAAAGGCGGCAAGGGAGGAAACAAGCUGUGUGAGGAAAGGCGCGGGUGUGUGAUCCUGGUCACGGUAGAGGAACGGCCGCUUCUUGUUCUGGUAGUAGCUCUCCUGCAGGAGCGCGUCGCACGCGAGGUCACGCAGCGCGCCCAGGUCCAGCUCUGCCGCCGCUUCGGCCGGGGGCUCCGUCGCUGCUGCGGCCCCCGGUGCCGCCGCUCCCGGCUCUACAGUCUCCGCAGCCCCCGAUGCCGCAGCCCCCGCCGCUGCCGUUCCCUGCUCUAAGGCCUCCGCGGCCCCCGCCCCAGGCUCCGGUGCCUUCGCGGCGGCCGCUGCAGGCGCUCUGGGCGGCAGUCCUGGCACGAAGACGGUCUUGGUGAAGCUCCGGUACCAGCGGUCGGCGUUGAGGGCGAAGGUUUGCGGGUAAACCAUGUACUUGGGCCGCUGCAGCUUCCCGUACAGCCGCAGCUUUUCCUCGAUAGUGGCAGCCUCGUGCACUUGCUGG
Molecule: long non-coding RNA, 618 nt
Filed under: Gallus gallus (chicken)
Lineage: Eukaryota; Metazoa; Chordata; Aves; Galliformes; Phasianidae
Source: RNAcentral